CCGGCGGGAAAUACCGUAAUUGCCUCAGUUGUGCGUACAGUAGUCCGCAGCCACCGCGGGCGCAAGCGUCACGGAAGCCGGAAGAGCGUGAGGAGCGAGCCGCCGGGGAUUACCGACCGUAUUCCGACCUGAGGUUGGCUGGGUCCGGCCGCCGCGGAGGAGGCUCCGCGCGGAGAGGCGGUGUCCCGCCCGCGGGCUCCGGGUCUCUCGGAGCUGGUCCUCCACGCCGGCUUCCUGCCGCUCUGUUUUCUGAGGUUUUCCCCAGAAGCGCGGCGCAGGUCGUUGACCGCCAGGCAAGGACUUGGCCCCUGGGGGGCGGGGUGAAAAGCGGCAGAGUUGCAGGGAUGUCAGGACCGGCGAGUGAACUGCCAGUUUAAUUCCCACUCUCCUGACUCCCCCCUUCACGAAGGACCUCCGGGAGAGCCUCAGGCCUUUGUCAACCUGAGCGCCCAAGAUACAGGAACGCUCUUCACACCGAAAGUGUGGCGAUUGACGAUGGGUUUCUGUCAGGGUAACGUGCAUUUGAAACACUGCAGCUCGGAAGGAGCAAAUGCUUCACCCAGAACUUCCAAAGGCCUGAUUUCCCAGAGGAGUUUGCCUGGAGGAGGGCGGGGAUGACCCCGAGUUGUGGGCCAGGAGGUGAGGAAUUCAGAAAGGGCUCAGCUGGAUGGUUUGUCUUUCCUUCUCUGCCAAGCCGGCUUCAUCACUCACAUGACAAGGCCUUAGCACUUCUUGACCUCUCUCUGCAAAUGAUGUCAUAUCCUCCAGGGCUCCCCCACAUGGUUUGGACUUCUCACAACAGGUCAUUGCAGUUCAGAUGAGGAAACUGAGGAGCUGAGAGGUCAGGCAACUUGUCAGAGGUCAUGCGGCAGAAGGUCUGUGCCACCAAUCAAAUCCAUCACCAGUCCCGUUGAAGAACUCAGAUAUUUGAAAAUGCUGAAAACCUCCAGAGUCCCUCUGGGCCUCCAGAAACAGGUUGGAAGGACUUCUGAUUUCCAGUUGGCACACGGUCACCAGGAAGAAUGACCAAGAAACUGAAGGAUCAUCCUUGCAGCUAGGUGUGGCCAUUUGAUUAAAAUCUGGCCAAUGAGAGGUCGGCAGAAGUGCAACUUCCAGGAAGUGUCUCUGAAGGGAAGGUGUGUGUCCUUAUGACCCCAUCUCCCUUCCCAGCAGUUAGAGUACAAGUGAUGCGACAGGAGCUGAGUUGCUUGGAAAUCAUGAAGUAGGAGUCAAGUGAUAAGAUGGCAGAACAGUAAGAGACGAGGAGGUCCUAAGUGACCUUGGAGCUGCUGUAAUAGGGAUGGACUCUACUGCUGGACUUGACUCACAUGAGAGAAAACUAGUGUCACUGUUAUCUUGACCUAACUCCCCUGGGGCCCAGAUUUUGGCCUCUGAUGAACUCUCCUGACACCAUGGCCUCUUGUCAGUCACACUCAAAUCUAGUCCUACAACAUCUAAGAUACAACUUUGCCAUACUUGCGGCUUCAAUCACCCACUGUCUAGAUGCCCAUGAUCUUCAGAUUUGCUCCAGCUCAGUUCUGGUAGUUCACUGGACCUCUCACACAGUUACCAUCCUCUCCCCAACCUGUCUUUCCCCCCAGGGCUCCCCAACUCAGGAAAGGGUGCCUCCAUAGCCCAACACCCUGUAAGUCAUCGAUUUCCCUCCCUCCCACUCCAGCCUUCCCACAUCCACGAAACCCCAAACCCCCCAUUCUACCUCCUAGAAAGAUUCUACUCCUCUACUCUACUUCCCGUGGCACGGUCCCAGCUCAAGCCCUGACCCCUCUACACCUUGUCCAUUGCCACCUCCUAAUUGGUCUCCCUGCCUCCAGUCUCCACUCCACAGCCUGUGUCUGCCCUCUUUAAAACCCACCCAUGACUCCCCUUGGUCUCUAGGACAAAGUCCAAGCUUUCCGAGUGAACAUCACAACCUUCUGCCUUCUGCACCGCCCCCAUCUCCCAGGCCUCCACCCCUCCCUCAGCACCUCCUCCUACAGGAUACUACACAAAGAAUUUGCUUUAGCAAAGGCUAUUUUCCUUCUGUCCACCUGCUAUUCCCUGUCUCAAAUGCCCUCCCCAAUUCCUCUGUUUGGUAUUACUCUUCCUUCAAGGUGCAGACAAAAGUCACCUCCAUGAGGCCUUGUCUGAUUCCCUCAGCAAGAGAAGCCUGUUGAGCUCUGUUCUGUGCUGCCGCAGAAUGUGCCCAUCUAACAAAGCUUAUCCCACUAUGCUCACCGAGGGGGGGCUGUCAGUCUGUCUGUCUGUCUCCCCUGACUGGCAGCGAGCAACCUGGGGAAGGAUCCCAUUUUCUUGGAAUCCAUAGCACCUAAUCUAAAGUAGGUGCCCAACACACAAUACUGUUACCCAUUUACUAAGCCCCUACUAUGUGUCAGGCCCUGAGCUGGAUGCUUUAUAUAAAUUGUCUAGUUUUAUCCUCAAAAUCACCCUGCUGGGAGAGAUGAGACUGAGAUUCAGAGAGGCUGAGCAGCUGCUUCAGGUCACACUAAUCGUGCACAGCAGUGUCAGAGACUGAUUCGCCGGCUGCCAUACUUGGUUCUCCAUUGGCCUAGGGCUUCACCCCCCUGCCAACCCCAGAUGUGGUCUCCAGGGAAGCACCAAACCCCACAGCUAGCCAGAACUGGGUGUAGAACAAGUCCUUUGUCUU
Molecule: non-coding RNA, 2665 nt
Organism: Leptonychotes weddellii (Weddell seal)
Lineage: Eukaryota; Metazoa; Chordata; Mammalia; Carnivora; Phocidae
Source: RefSeq, a predicted model, not a curated record